AUUAAGCAUAUCAAUAAGCGGAGGAAAAGAAACCAACAGGGAUUGCCUCAGUAACGGCGAGUGAAGCGGCAACAGCUCAAAUUUGAAAUCUGGCCCCAGGCCCGAGUUGUAAUUUGCAGAGGAUGUUUCUGGCGAGGUGCCUUCCGAGUUCCCUGGAACGGGACGCCAUAGAGGGUGAGAGCCCCGUACGGUUGGUCGCUAAGCCUCUGUGAAACUCCUUCGACGAGUCGAGUAGUUUGGGAAUGCUGCUCUAAAUGGGAGGUGUACGCCUUCUCAAGCUAAAUACCGGCUAGAGACCGAUAGCGCACAAGUAGAGUGAUCGAAAGAUGAAAAGCACUUUGAAAAGAGGGUUAAAUAGUACGUGAAAUUGUUGAAAGGGAAGCGCUCUUGACCAGACUUGCGCCGGUUGAUCAUCCACCGUUCUCGGUGGUGCACUCUGCCGGCUCAGGCCAGCAUCAGUUCGGUCCGGGGGAUAAAGGCUUCGGGAAUGUGGCUCUCUCCGGGGAGUGUUAUAGCCCGUUGCGUAAUACCCUGGGCUGGACUGAGGUUCGCGCAUCUGCAUGGAUGCUGGCGUAAUGGUCAUCAGUGACCCGUCUUGAAACACGGACCAAGGAGUCGUCUUCGUAUGCGAGUGUUCGGGUGUCAAACCCCUACGCGUAAUGAAAGUGAACGUAGGAGAGAGCUUCGGCGCAUCUCCGACCGAUCCUGAUGUUCUCGGAUGGAUUUGAGUAAGAGCAUACGGGGCCGGACCCGAAAGAAGGUGAACUAUGCCUGUAUAGGGUGAAGCCAGAGGAAACUCUGGUGGAGGCUCGCAGCGGUUCUGACGUGCAAAUCGAUCGUCAAAUAUGGGCAUGGGGCGAAAGACUAAUCGA
Molecule: ribosomal RNA, 872 nt
Filed under: Gliomastix murorum
Lineage: Eukaryota; Fungi; Ascomycota; Sordariomycetes; Hypocreales; Bionectriaceae
Description: LSU rRNA
Rfam family: Eukaryotic large subunit ribosomal RNA
Source: RNAcentral